This 286-nucleotide long non-coding RNA is filed under the name Mus musculus (house mouse). RNAcentral's name for it is "long non-coding RNA chr8:94674134-94674420". Lineage: Eukaryota; Metazoa; Chordata; Mammalia; Rodentia; Muridae. The record is from RNAcentral.
GGGGGUGGGGGUGGGGGCAGGACACAGAUUUCUGGUCCUCUGUCAUCUUUGGUGGACUGCCACCAAACAGAAAGCAUGUGUAUCACAUCUCUAGAAAGAAGACGAAAACAGUUCAAACCCUAAUGCGUACUUUUGACUUUAACUUUUAUAGUAAACAGACUCCGUGCUGACUUUCCAUGUGACCAUUAGACUUUAAGGGAUAUAAGCUAAGCUCCGUGUUUUUUUCUGUAGCUGUGUGUCAUUUAGUACUUUUGUAAAAUGAGUAAAAUUUGAGGUGUUUGGCAAG